ACACAUGCAAGUCUUUGCGGAAACGAGUUAACUGACCCUUCGGGGAACGUUAACGGCGUCGAGCGGCGGACGGGUGAGUAAUGCCUAGGAAAUUGCCCUGAUGUGGGGGAUAACCAUUGGAAACGAUGGCUAAUACCGCAUGAUGCCUUCGGGCCAAAGAGGGGGACCUUCGGGCCUCUCGCGUCAGGAUAUGCCUAGGUGGGAUUAGCUAGUUGGUGAGGUAAGGGCUCACCAAGGCGACGAUCCCUAGCUGGUCUGAGAGGAUGAUCAGCCACACUGGAACUGAGACACGGUCCAGACUCCUACGGGAGGCAGCAGUGGGGAAUAUUGCACAAUGGGCGCAAGCCUGAUGCAGCCAUGCCGCGUGUAUGAAGAAGGCCUUCGGGGUUGUAAAGUACUUUCAGCAGUGAGG
This 412-nucleotide ribosomal RNA is filed under the name Vibrio sp. P1-21. RNAcentral describes it as "bacterial SSU rRNA". It matches the Rfam family "Bacterial small subunit ribosomal RNA", at positions 51 to 447 of the family's 1533-position model. Lineage: Bacteria; Pseudomonadati; Pseudomonadota; Gammaproteobacteria; Vibrionales; Vibrionaceae. The record is from RNAcentral.